Molecule: unclassified non-coding RNA, 255 nt
Filed under: Hevea brasiliensis (rubber tree)
Lineage: Eukaryota; Viridiplantae; Streptophyta; Magnoliopsida; Malpighiales; Euphorbiaceae
Source: RNAcentral
AAAAAAAAUUACAGAAAUCAUUCAGGGUACCCUAAAAACACUGAUCAAGAACAAUCAAUAAUAAUCACUAAAAAAAAAAAAAAUACAAACACAAUAAAAGAAAACAUCGUCCAACGCUGCCAUUUUCUCCACGUCCAGACACGAAGACAUGUAUUUAAUAUUACACUUGCUCCAGAAAAGGGCUUAUGAAAUCAAAGAAAUUUUUCAUUGUAAAAAAAUAUUUUGAAAAUAAAAUUUGAAAUUCCAUUGAAUAAA